This 324-nucleotide ribosomal RNA is filed under the name uncultured eukaryote. RNAcentral describes it as "partial 18S ribosomal RNA". It matches the Rfam family "Eukaryotic small subunit ribosomal RNA", at positions 1470 to 1796 of the family's 1831-position model. The record is from RNAcentral.
CCCUUAGAUGUUCUGGGCCGCACGCGCGCUACACUGAAGCUAUCAACACGUUUUCCCUCCCUGAGAAGGGCGGGUAACCUUUUGAAUCAGCUUCGUGGUAGGGAUCGGGGCUUGCAAUUGUUCCCCGUGAACCAGGAAUUCCUAGUAGACGCGAGUCAUAAGCUCGCAUCGAUUAAGUCCCUGCCCUUUGUACACACCACCCGUCGCUACUACCGAUUGAACGUUUUAGUGAGGCAUUUGGACCGACGCAUCUCAGUUUAACCGCUGGUUUGUGUUGGAAAGACUUCCAAACUUGAGCGUUUAGAGGAAGUAAAAGUCGUAACA